GAAGUUCCCUACUAAUCAUCUAUUUAAAAAAAAAGGGCGAAUUGUGGCUUCAUCUACUUUUGACUCUGGUAUCUUAUGAAAAAUGUUGCAAGAAUAGCCAGAAGGCAGUCGGUCUGCAUGAAGCCGGCAUCAGAGAUGUGUUCUCCAUAACAAGUGGUAAAUUACACUAUUGUUUCUGGAAAUCUUUGUAGUUUGAAUACAUCAUUAGGCUGUCUGAUCACCUGUGUGCAUGAUAAAC
This is a long non-coding RNA of Rhea pennata, 238 nucleotides long. RefSeq lists it as uncharacterized. The record is from RefSeq and is a predicted model, not a curated record. The transcript is spliced from 3 exons. NCBI's taxonomy places the organism in Eukaryota, Metazoa, Chordata, Aves, Rheiformes, Rheidae.